Molecule: long non-coding RNA, 2879 nt
Organism: Cavia porcellus (domestic guinea pig)
Lineage: Eukaryota; Metazoa; Chordata; Mammalia; Rodentia; Caviidae
Exons: 2
Source: RefSeq, a predicted model, not a curated record
CUCGAGCGUACGCGGCCGGGGCCGGCAGGGGAGCCCGCCACCCGCCACCACGGGCCGGGCUCCCCCAAAUCCAGCGUCUGGCCGUGCCGGGCGGCAACGGCAGAACGGCCCUCAAACCUCCCGCAAAGAGAGGAGAGGAAAGGUAGACGGCAGGCGUCCGUCAGGCCGGCCCAACCACGAUCGCUCACACGCCCGCGAGGGCCCCCCAGAGGAGGUAAACACACGCGGGCGCGCGCUCAGCCCCACCCCCAGCAGGCGAUCUCACCCACACCUCCUCUCGUCGCGCCGGGACGAACGAGAGGACGCCGCUGGGGGGGAGGGAAACCCACACGCCCAACACCCCUCCCCCAGGGGCGGGGGGGGUGCAUGAGGCGCAAGAGCCUCCCCUUCCCUACCGACUCGAUCCCCGGGCGGUUUCCCGGCACAGCCAGAAAAACCCCCAAAGCGAGGUUCAGCACGCCAACGACGGCAGGCGGCUCAGAACAGAGGCACCGGGACACGGGUACGACACCGACCCUCAGCCUCGUGCACCUGGACAGACAAGCCGGGAACGCUCCAGGAGCACCGCAGGAGGCCGAGGCACGCUCGCGUGCCACAGGGCGCGGCACGCAGCGUAGUGGCGGGGCAAGCCGCUCUCCCCACCUCCGGGGAGGACUCCACCCACGCCGCAGACGCCCCCCGAAGGGGCAAGCGAGGAGAGUUCCAUCGCGUCAAGCGACCACGACCCACCCCCCCGGGCGACAGCACCACAAGGGCGAGCGGGAGGGGAGCGAGGUCGGGCCGGAUUCCGCACCCCUGCCUUCCACGCACCACCGAGAGGCGGGGUAGAGAGACGAGGGGCCCGCAGGCAGAACGAGAAGAGCGGUCCCAUUCACCAUGAAUGUCCGUCCCUCGCCUGGCGCGGCUUAGGCCCGGCCCAGGAGAGCGCUCAUUCACCACAUCGGUCACAAUGAAAGGAGAGGGGAAGAGACGGGACCGCGGGGAGGGCAGGCCUGGCAAGGACAGUCAGAGAAGAGCCCGCUUUCAGCCUCGCCAGUGCCACAACCCCCAACACCGCCAGCGGCCGACAACGACCCAGGGGAACGCCUGACACGCAGAAAGGCACGGAGCCACACUCGAGGGUCGUCUCAGACCGCACUCGGUGCCCGCGACGAGGAGCACACAGGGGCAGAGGGCCCCUGCCGCCAUCCCCGCCACCCUCGGGUGCUAGAGACCGGAGGCGGCACCGAGCCAGGGGAGGCUACACUCGGAUGUCCAAGAGCCGGCGCACGGGCCCCAGGGCGGACAGCUCAGGGGCGAGAGAAGCAGGGUUCCAAGUACCACGGGACGGCCAGCAAACCCAGAGCCCCAACUCGCCAUCCGGGAGCCCAAAUCCCCUCGUCUUUGCAGCAGCGGCAACCACCGAAAGACAGCGUGUCAGCAUAUACCUGCAGACACAAAACACCCACCUCUAGCCAAAAGAUCUGUGACACAUGACAGAGGGGACAAUCCCCUGAUCACACCCGCCCUCCAAAGCAAGGCGCCGGGGACCUGGCCCCUCAGACGACCCCAAUGCUGCAGACGGCGGAGCACCCAGGGCCAACUGGUCGACCGCGGGGGUGGGGUGGGGGGGCGGGACAGGGCGCAGGGACGCUGGACCAAGCCAGCCCUCCAUCAGCGCCCUCCCCGAGCCACCUGCUGGCGCGGGGGACAGCACGAGACCCUCUCACCUGGGCCUUCCUUGGGGAAACGGGCAAUGGGCCGAGCCCUAUGGCCACUGGGGUCCACUGGGUCCCCACUGGGGCCCGGAGGCCGGGCACCCUCCCCGGGCGGGCGAACCCCGCCGAUCCUCGAGCCUAACUCGGACUUAGUCGCUGACUGAGACAGGUAGGUCCCCGCCCGCCCCUCCAAACACCAGGACCCACUCGGGCUCGAGGCCGAGGCCCCGACAACCUCCACGGGCGGGUGGCCCCAGCCCCGGCCCCGGCCCCGGCCCCGGCCCCGGCCAGUCCGCGAGCUCGCGAGCUCACACUUGGGGAAUCACAACGAUCCAGAUCCAGACUUCCAACCACCGGGGGCAAAGCCCAACAGCCCUGCACGGCCCCUCGCGCUGCAGCCAGGACAAGGCGGGGACCCCGCAAGGAGUCCGGAGAAGAGCAAAGAGGAACACAGGCACCGGUGACCCGGCCGAGCUGGCCACACACUCCCUUCCACGAGCCGGCCCAGCCGGCUGCCUGCCGGGAUGGAGGGAACACAUCUCUUCCCUCCUUGCGUCUCGGUGGCCGGCCGGAGGGCCGCCGAGAAGCAGGAGGGUGUGCUGGUCGACCGGCUCGGGUCACCCACACACCCCCCGGCUAGCCGCGACCGGCCGCGGAAAGGCGGCAACAGUCACCUCUCACAUAGCCCUGCCGAUCCAAUCUCCGCACAGCGCGCCCGCCGGCUCAGCUCAGGCACGACCGCUGCAGUCCCGCCUAGCAGGCGGACCUCCUGGGACUCUGUCCCCGUCGCCAAGGCCACACGUCAGCCCUUGCCGCUCCAGCUGCUGACUACGAGCGCGACAUCAUAGCAAAGCCACCACCAGGUGGAGCCCCACAACGACCUCAAACACCAGCGAGAUCACCAGAGGUCUCUGAGCUGGAAGAGCAGGAUGUUCAAAAUCACCCUAAGGGGCCCAAUCGGCGGGGUCCCCUGGCCUCCAAGGGGGGAGGGAGGACCGCGGAAAGGAGUAGGCGAGAAACACAGAGAGUCCAAAACAAGCCACCUGAACAAGCUGCUGCAGCCCCAAGGAGGCAAAGGGCCAAGGGGCUCAGGCCAGCCCGGCAAACAAAUCGCUACAAAGCGGGGUUGAGGUUGACGUUGUACUUCUCGGAAGCCUAUAAAUAAAGACACAUGCUACAGUG